Molecule: transfer RNA, 67 nt
Filed under: Discocelis tigrina
Lineage: Eukaryota; Metazoa; Platyhelminthes; Polycladida; Discocelidae
Description: tRNA-Ser
Source: RNAcentral
GAUCUUUAAGAAGUUUAGUUCGUUUUGUUUUGAAAACAAAAAGAGGGGUAUAUAUUCCCAAAGAUCU